Molecule: ribosomal RNA, 389 nt
Filed under: uncultured bacterium
Lineage: Bacteria
Description: bacterial SSU rRNA
Rfam family: Bacterial small subunit ribosomal RNA
Source: RNAcentral
AUUGAACGCUGGCGGCAUGCCUUACACAUGCAAGUCGAGCGGCAGCGCGGGGGCAACCCUGGCGGCGAGCGGCGGACGGGUGAGUAAUACAUCGGAACGUGUCCUGUCGUGGGGGAUAACCAGUCGAAAGACUGGCUAAUACCGCAUGAGAUCGAAAGAUGAAAGCGGGGGACCGCAAGGCCUCGCGCGAUUGGAGCGGCCGAUGUCGGAUUAGCUUGUUGGCGGGGUAAAAGCCCACCAAGGCGACGACCCGUAGCUGGUUUGAGAGAACGACCAGCCACACUGGGACUGAGACACGGCCCAGACUCCUACGGGAGGCAGCAGUGGGGAAUCUUGGACAAUGGGGGCAACCCUGAUCCAGCCAUGCCGCGUGUGUGAAGAAGGCCUGG